AUUGAACGCUGGCGGCAUGCCUAACACAUGCAAGUCGAACGGCAGCACAGUGUGUAGCAAUACACAUGGGUGGCGAGUGGCGGACGGGUGAGUAAUGCGUAGGAAUUUACCUCAAAGCGGGGGAUAGCCCGGAGAAAUCCGGAUUAAUACCGCAUGUGCUCUACGGAGGAAAGCGGGCCUCUACUUGUAAGCUCGCACUUUGAGAUAAGCCUACGUCGGAUUAGCUAGUUGGUAGGGUAAAGGCCUACCAAGGCGACGAUCCGUAGCUGGUUUGAGAGGAUGAUCAGCCACACUGGGACUGAGACACGGCCCAGACUCCUACGGGUGGCAG
Molecule: ribosomal RNA, 331 nt
Filed under: uncultured Pseudomonadota bacterium
Lineage: Bacteria; Pseudomonadati; Pseudomonadota
Description: bacterial SSU rRNA
Rfam family: Bacterial small subunit ribosomal RNA
Source: RNAcentral